UUCCCAUGCUACUCAAGUUAAUUUACCAGAGUUCUAGAUAUUUGUCCAUUCAGGACCAUUUUAGGACUCCAUGCUAAAGGGUCAGAUAAUGAGGUAAAGGUCAAGGUGGUUGGAUUUUUGACUACAAGGGUAGUAGAGUCUUGGGCAGCCUAAGUCUUGACCGUUUGUUAGGGAAUAAUGACUAUAAGCCUGGAACUGCCCACCCUGCCGUGUACUUGCAGGAAUACAAGAAAGCAGGUCACCUUUCAACAAAACCUGGCUUUAUGGAUUAUGCAUGAAGUCAGUCUCUUCCUGGUACUUUUCUUUCAGCCUCAUUAGUAAUCCCCUUCCCCCAUGCUAUUCACUCCAUGUGAUUCCUCAGCUUCAGAAAUAGACCCUCUGUUUAGAAUUUUUGGCAAAUGCUUUCUGGUUUCCACAGGUGGAAGCUGGAACGCAGUCCCAAGUGUCAAUGGCAGAACACAGAUACCUGAAUCCAGUUCCACCUUUCCUGUGUAUCCUCUUCCACUUAUCUUACUUCCCCUUCAUGUUGAACCAACGUUAAUAGGUGCAAGGCACGAGAUGAGUUCACAAGCAAUCAGUGCUGGAAGGAUGUGCAAAAUAAAAGUUAAGAGAAGCUGAGGAUAUAGAAGGCAUCCUGAAAGUAAAACAGCUGAGGACCACAAAGCAUAUCAUGGAAAAUCUGUUAAGCAGGGGAGGUCAGGUAGGAGAGGAAAGAAUAGUCCCUCCCAAAGGAAGCAGUUAAAUAAGUCUGUGGGAGGUCAGUGGUAAAAGGAAGUGGGAAUGAAGUGAACAGAGAGUGCAGCUAGGCCUUCCCUUAGGAGAUAAGCUACUGAGUGUCUUUUAAGCCAGACUAUAUUAACAGGGAAGGGAAGUGGGAGGUCCAUUGGCCUUUCUUUGUGAACUAUGAGCAUAAACACAAACCAAGAAUGACGAUAACUUACAGGGUUAAAUUCUGGUUCUUCAAUAAUUCUAUUCCCUUUACCAACAAUUGAUUCAAAAAUAGACAUGUGACCCAGUUUUAGGCCAUGAGACAACAAACUGGGUGGCUUCUGGAAAACAGCUUCCCAAAAAGGUAAGACCAAGUUCCCUUCCAUUUCAGCCGCUUAAGUUAGCACUUUCUGCUAAAUGCAGCUAAACGUGUUCUAACUAGUUAAAUGGCACAGAACAGUGGAUCUGUUUACUUGUAAUAAAGUCAGGAAAGAAACAUGGAAUAUGUAAAAGCACAGGAAAUUCAAAUCAUGCUAUGACAGCCAAACCAGUAAAGUCUUAGAGUUAAUGAGGAGAAAGCCUUUAGCUGUACCUCCACAGUGGCCAUACCCUAGGCAGCAUUCCCAAUACCAAACAUACCCCUCUCCCAGAACUGCUAAGUCUAAGCCCAGAGGAGAAAGGGAAAAGUAGGGUAAUUCUCUCCUCAAGGAGACCAGGGGUCCCUGGACCAAGCCAUGGGGAGGGUGCUAAAUGAUGGACACAAAGCCUAUUCACAGAACAUCCUGAGGCCUUACAAUGAAC
This 1509-nucleotide long non-coding RNA is filed under the name Pan troglodytes (chimpanzee). RNAcentral's name for it is "long non-coding RNA NONPTRT009757". The record is from RNAcentral. Lineage: Eukaryota; Metazoa; Chordata; Mammalia; Primates; Hominidae.